AUAUCAAUUCAGUCCUUUAUCAUAAAGUCCAGUGCUUCUUCUGGGAAGGUGUGAGAGGAUUACUACUGGUCAGGGUUCCUUUCCUCUUCUCCAUCAUAGUUUUUCUUUAAAGGGAAAAACUAUCCUUAGUGUUUUGUUGGCACAGGUACCAUUGUUUAAUCUGUGCUUCCCUUGAUUCUGCUUUCUGGUAGCAUCAAUCCAUAUUAACAUAGGUUCCUGGUCACCUACAGGAAUAAAAAGACCCACUGUAUGGAGAUAGUGCCCUUCAGACUUCUCUGAUGUCCCAAAUUCUGCUAGUCAUCACACCUCCUCUGCUGCCAGAUAUGUUUCUAUAUGGAGGUGUGUGGGUCUGUGUGGAGAGAAAGUGAGCAGCUGAGAAGAACCAAACUACUGGAAACUCAAGGACCUGCAAAGGAAAGCUGUAAGUCAGUUUGGAAAUAUGGGACCUUACCUUUGCCAAAAAACUUAAAAAAAAAGUGUCGGCUGGAAUUUCAAGAAUGGCAUUUUCGAAGUUGGGACUUAAUGUCAUUGUGAAUACUUUUUUACCUUAUGAAAAGAAAAUUAACUGUUGACUCUUGGCCUGAGAGCAUCCACUAAGCUGACAGCCUGAAUUUUAACCCUGAUCAGCCAACACUUGAAUGUCAGCAACAGGCUAAUUGUGGAACUGAUCAUUAAACUAGGCACAAUUCCUCCC
RNAcentral lists this long non-coding RNA (694 nucleotides) under Monodelphis domestica (gray short-tailed opossum). RNAcentral describes it as "lncRNA (ENSMODG00000038245.1)". Lineage: Eukaryota; Metazoa; Chordata; Mammalia; Didelphimorphia; Didelphidae. The record is from RNAcentral.